GUGCUCAUUUCAGCAGUAAAUAUACUAAAAUUGGAAUGAUACAGAGAAGAUUGGCAUGGCACCUGCACAAGGAUGACAUGCAAAUUCAGGAAACAUUCCAUAUUUUU
Molecule: small nuclear RNA, 107 nt
Organism: Dasypus novemcinctus (nine-banded armadillo)
Lineage: Eukaryota; Metazoa; Chordata; Mammalia; Cingulata; Dasypodidae
Source: Ensembl